Molecule: unclassified non-coding RNA, 272 nt
Filed under: Hevea brasiliensis (rubber tree)
Lineage: Eukaryota; Viridiplantae; Streptophyta; Magnoliopsida; Malpighiales; Euphorbiaceae
Source: RNAcentral
UCUCCUUCUUCUGAUCCCUUCCCUGCCUUGGAUAAUGGGGUCUCCAACAAAAGGAAAAGAAAACCUGCAGGAACACCAGAUCCAGAUGCAGAGGUUGUCUCUCUAUCUCCCAGGACCUUGCUGGAAUCAGAUAGAUAUGUUUGUGAGAUCUGUAACCAAGGGUUUCAAAGAGACCAGAACCUACAAAUGCAUAGGAGAAGACACAAAGUGCCUUGGAAGUUGUUGAAGAGGGAGACACAAGAAGUGAAGAAGAGAGUUUAUGUAUGCCCAGA